GGUUCCUUGGUGUAAUGGUUAGCACUCUGAAUCCUGCGAUCCGAGUUCAAAUCUCGGUGGGACCG
Danio rerio (zebrafish) is the source of this 65-nucleotide non-coding RNA. The record is from Rfam. Lineage: Eukaryota; Metazoa; Chordata; Actinopteri; Cypriniformes; Danionidae.